Molecule: long non-coding RNA, 2356 nt
Filed under: Salmo salar (Atlantic salmon)
Lineage: Eukaryota; Metazoa; Chordata; Actinopteri; Salmoniformes; Salmonidae
Description: lncRNA (ENSSSAG00000091034.1)
Rfam family: Histone 3' UTR stem-loop (bases 1617-1662)
Source: RNAcentral
GAAAACUGUAACAUCCUGGUUGUUGGAUAGUGGCAGAGACUGUUGUAUCAAACGUGGUGGAAUCAGAGAAUGAGAGGCCUCUAGUGGCCGAAAGGCCAUAUUAGCAUGGGCAGCGCCAUUGAGGGCUUCCACCAUUUUAAUGUAGUCAACUGUCGUGGUUGUUCCAUGUCAUGUCCAACUGGGUCAUCAGGAGUGAUCAGCCAAUCGUGAAGAAGAAAAUUUAGUAAUUCAAAAUGGAAUUUGCCUCAAUAGUCCUUUUGCACAACGUAGCAACGCCCACUUCUGUUCAACUUCUUACCCGAUACAUAGCUUCCUCUCCCGAUUGCAUCCUGUCAUGAUGAUUGUAGCCAUUCUAGCCUCGAAUUCACUCGUUUUAUCAUUAUCUCAGUAUAUUAAUAUAAUCAUAUUAAUAUAAUCAUAUUUCUAUAGCGUUUUUUUAUCGUUCUUGUUGAAAAUUGUUUAUCCGUUCAGUUAGUGAUUCGAUUUUUGUGUUCUGUGUCUUUUUUUGUCUCUUUAGCUAGCAAACGUUAGCUACCAGUAGCUAGCUAAUGUUAGUGCUAACGUUAACAUUAUUAGUUGGUGCAGCAUCUUUAUUGAAAGUUAGGAAGUGAAGAAGAGCAACAUCAAGGUUGAGGCGAGAGGUCAUCUUCAUGGAAUAUUGCUCUGUUCCGUUGUGUACCUCCUCAGCGAAAUACUCCUCGUUGAGUUUUCACUCAUUUCCAAGUGAUACUGAGCUAAGAGUAAAAUGGGUCAUCAAUAUUCGCAGGGAAAAGUUCCCCAUCACAAGUCACUCCCAAGAUUUGUGGUAGACACUUUUUACCACAUGAUUUCAUUGAACCAUGUGUGCUUCGACAUCUGAAGAAGGGAGCAGUACCUUUGCUAUUCCAGUGGAAUAACUAAGCAAGAGCAAGUGUUUGGGAAAGAAGGGAGACCAAGGACUGGAUGUGUAGAGGACAACCAUGUUGAAGAUGGAAAGGAUGAAAAGAUGGAUUGCUAACAUGACCAUGACUACUGUGCAGUGGCUGGGCCCGAUGUAGUUGACCUGGUUUUGAUUGAGAGGGAAGAGAUGCAGAGAGCGAUUGAGGACCUAUUGAACAAAGUAGAGGAGUUGACUGUGAGAAGUUAUUUUGGGCUGCAGCGAUUUGUGGGAUCAGAGGCACAGAUCCAGUCCUUCACAAGAUAAAGAGAGCUAUGAAAGCCAGUCUACAUAUGAAGAGGUCCCAAUGAAGAGCAGUGGUUCUCAGUCCUGGUCCUGGGGACUCAAAGGGAUACCUUGUAAUUGGAGAUUCCUUCAAAACCAUUGCCUACAGUUAGCGUGUAGGGCACUGCAAGGUUGGGUGAUCAGGGCCAUCUGGGACUGCCUCCUGGAGGAAUUCAGGUGUGUGAAGGCUACCUGUGUCCUGCAUAACUUCAUGAAGAUGGACACGAGGACCAGGAGUGGAUCUGCAGCUUGCCGCCGUGUGCCAGAGGAGAAGUCUGGUGCUCUGCAGGAUGUUUCAAGGUUGGGGUCCAGCAACGCAGCAAGAGAGGCAAUCCGUGUGCUGGAGCUCGUCACCUCCUACUUCUUCGAAGAGGGUGCUGUUCCCUGGCAACACCAUAGACUACAUUAUGCACAACCAAAGGCUAUUUUAAGAGCCAUCCACAUUGCAAUAAGAGUAUUCUUCCAUUUACUGAGCUAUGUCAACUGCAGUUAUUCAAUUCCCAGUUUCUCUCCCUUUGAUUUCUACUUCUCAGGUGAGGGUGCUGUUUAGAUAAGGGUGUGAUGUCUGUAGAAAAACAAAACAGGCUAUUUAAAUCACCCAUAUUGAAAAAAUGUAGAACAAUUAGACACCCUGUAACCCACACCUACACACUCAUAAGCAGGCUCAGGUGUAUAAAAAAAAGCAUAAAGUACUCUGCAGCUACUUAGUGGACACCAGGUUAUAUCAGCUGUGUUGGUGAACCCCUCCCUCAUCUGAACUGGCUACAUAGAGGGCACAGCAUGAUCAGAGAUGUGUUUUGUUGUGAGAGAGGAUGCCAACCCCCAGUCCCAUCAUCGCAACCUCACCCGCUUUUAAGAUAACCUUCAGGCUGACUAGAGACACUUAUGUAAUUGUGAUGAACUGAGAGAAUAUUUGUGUAGCACUGAUUCAUUAUUCAUAUCCCUGCUCCUAUGUUCUUACCUCUUUCCCUUUCUGUCUUUUACACCUCUCUCGCCACCUCCUCUUUCUUCCUCUGUUUUUAUAAUUCACAACAGAUGUGCAUUGAAGUACAGAUUGAACUUGUAUUUAUAAUAUUACAAUUAUAAUAUUAAUGCAUGUAUUUAUAACACUUGGAUAAUGAACUUCUUUCAAUAAAGUGUUUCACAUUCUCUACU